Molecule: long non-coding RNA, 779 nt
Filed under: Sarcophilus harrisii (Tasmanian devil)
Lineage: Eukaryota; Metazoa; Chordata; Mammalia; Dasyuromorphia; Dasyuridae
Description: lncRNA (ENSSHAG00000027408.1)
Source: RNAcentral
CUGCUGAAGCCAAGGGAUGAUACUGCUGAUCAGCCACUCCGGACUCCUGCGCUCGGUUGCGCGCGCGCGCACACACACACACAUUCUCUCUCUCUCUCUCUCUCUGUAAGCGUCCUUAUAUUGUCAUAGUUUAGGCUAAAGGAGGGAAGGGGCAGAAACUCGGCCUGUCCCUUCGUGUAGCCAAAGUCAGGGAAGUUGUCUUCCCUUCCUUCCCCACCCCUCUUUACAGUAGUGGUAGCCCAACUUUCUAAGUCCACUACUGUCCUGUCAUUCAAUGUGGAAGUAUUUUCUUAGUUUGUCCUAAGGAAUUCUAGUUCAGAAUUCCUUAUUCAGGUUUUUAUUUGCAGAGUUUUGAAGGAAGGCCCCGGUGACUGCAGAGUAAUUCAAUUUAAGAGAGAUAAAUUAAAAUAUUUAACACAUAAUUAUUCUCUUACCUGGGAGAAACCAAAGGGAGUAGAAAGCACUGGUGAAGAAAGAAGAAAUCUGGCUGCCAGACAGACAAUUCAUUAAUGUAUACAUCUAUCAGAUGGCCUGUAGGAGCUGCAGUCUUUAGAGGAGGGGUAAGGGGUGAGGGUCUCACACCAACAGGAAAGGACGUCCUUUCUUUCCAGCAUAGGUGAUGUAGGUAAGUAUUUGUCUAGGCGAAUGGAUUGCUUUUAGUGCCUCCUGUUUAAUAAUUAGUGGUGCAAUUCAGUUUGGGAAUACAGCGGUCGUUUUGUUUACAUUAUAACAGGGGAUUAAUACUAUUAAAUGAAUGCUACAGUUAUGACCCGGGGAGA